GCCCCCGUAGUCCAACCGGCAGAGACAGUGGAUUCAAAACCCACCCAGUGUGCGUUCGAAUCGCACCGGGGGCA
This 74-nucleotide transfer RNA is filed under the name Pseudonocardia broussonetiae. It matches the Rfam family "tRNA". Rfam says of the family: Transfer RNA (tRNA) molecules are approximately 80 nucleotides in length. Their secondary structure includes four short double-helical elements and three loops (D, anti-codon, and T loops). The record is from Rfam by way of RNAcentral. RNAcentral also lists the same sequence under 1 other name. Lineage: Bacteria; Bacillati; Actinomycetota; Actinomycetes; Pseudonocardiales; Pseudonocardiaceae.